GCUAAUACCGGAUAACAACAGAUGAUGCCUAUCAACUGUUUAAAAGUAUGGUUCUGCUAUCACUCUUGGAUGGACCUGCGGUGCAUUAGCUAGUUGGUAGGGUAACGGCCUACCAAGGCGAUGAUGCAUAGCCGAGUUGAGAGACUGAUCGGCCACAUUGGGACUGAGACACGGCCCAAACUCCUACGGGAGGCAGCAGCA
This 201-nucleotide ribosomal RNA is filed under the name uncultured Lactobacillus sp. RNAcentral describes it as "partial 16S ribosomal RNA". It matches the Rfam family "Bacterial small subunit ribosomal RNA", at positions 162 to 355 of the family's 1533-position model. Lineage: Bacteria; Bacillati; Bacillota; Bacilli; Lactobacillales; Lactobacillaceae. The record is from RNAcentral.